UGGGGAAUUUUGGACAAUGGGGGAAACCCUGAUCCAGCCAUCCCGUGUGUGCGAUGAAGGCCUUCGGGUUGUAAAGCACUUUUGGCAGGAAAGAAACGUCAUGGGUUAAUACCCCGUGAAACUGACGGUACCUGCAGAAUAAGCACCGGCUAACUACGUGCCAGCCGCCGCGGUAAUACGUAGGGUGCAAGCGUUAAUCGGAAUUACUGGGCGUAAAGCGUGCGCAGGCGGUUCGGAAAGAAAGAUGUGAAAUCCCAGAGCUCAACUUUGGAACUGCAUUUUUAACUACCGGGCUAGAGUGUGUCAGAGGGAGGUGGAAUUCCGCGUGUAGCAGUGAAAUGCGUAGAUAUGCGGAGGAACACCGAUGGCGAAGGCAGCCUCCUGGGAUAACACUGACACUCAUGCACGAAAGCGUGGGGAGCAAACAGG
This 429-nucleotide ribosomal RNA is filed under the name Acidobacteriota bacterium. Its description in RNAcentral is "Acidobacteria bacterium partial 16S ribosomal RNA". It matches the Rfam family "Bacterial small subunit ribosomal RNA", at positions 355 to 776 of the family's 1533-position model. Lineage: Bacteria; Pseudomonadati; Acidobacteriota. The record is from RNAcentral.